Molecule: ribosomal RNA, 498 nt
Filed under: uncultured bacterium
Lineage: Bacteria
Description: bacterial SSU rRNA
Rfam family: Bacterial small subunit ribosomal RNA
Source: RNAcentral
GAUGAACGCUGGCGGCGUGCUUAACACAUGCAAGUCGAACGAAGCAUAUCAGCGGAAGCCUUCGGGUGGAAGCAGAUAUGACUGAGUGGCGGACGGGUGAGUAACGCGUGGGUAACCUGCCUCAUACAGGGGGAUAACAGUUGGAAACAGCUGCUAAUACCGCAUAAGCGCACAGUGUCACAUGACACAGUGUGAAAAACUCCGGUGGUAUGAGAUGGACCCGCGUCUGAUUAGCUGGUUGGUGAGGUAACGGCUCACCAAGGCGACGAUCAGUAGCCGGCCUGAGAGGGUGAACGGCCACAUUGGGACUGAGACACGGCCCAAACUCCUACGGGAGGCAGCAGUGGGGAAUAUUGCACAAUGGGGGAAACCCUGAUGCAGCGACGCCGCGUGAGUGAAGAAGUAUUUCGGUAUGUAAAGCUCUAUCAGCAGGGAAGAAAAUGACGGUACCUGACUAAGAAGCCCCGGCUAACUACGUGCCAGCAGCCGCAGUAACAC